UACAGAGGUCUCGAGCGUUAGGCGGAAUCACUGGGCUUAAAGCGUGUGUAGGCGGAUCGUUAAGUGCCUUGUGAAAUCCCACGGCUCAACCGUGGAACUGCUUGGCAUACUGGCGGUCUUGAGCAACCUAGGGGCGAGCGGAACAAAUGGUGGAGCGGUGAAAUGCGUAGAUAUCAUGUGGAACGCCAAUGGUGAAAACAGCUCGCUGGGGGUUUGCUGACGCUGAGACACGAAAGCCAGGGGAGCAAACGGG
Molecule: ribosomal RNA, 253 nt
Filed under: uncultured bacterium
Lineage: Bacteria
Description: partial 16S ribosomal RNA
Rfam family: Bacterial small subunit ribosomal RNA
Source: RNAcentral